CGCGUAGGCGGCUGCGCAAGUCGAACGUGAAAUCCCUCGGCUCAACCGGGGAACUGCGUCCGAUACUGCGUGGCUCGAGUCCCGGAGAGGGUAGCGGAAUUCCCAGUGUAGCGGUGAAAUGCGUAGAUAUUGGGAGGAACACCAGUGGCGAAGGCGGCUACCUGGACGGGUACUGACGCUGAGGCGCGAAAGCUAGGGGAGCAAACA
This 207-nucleotide ribosomal RNA is filed under the name uncultured bacterium. Its description in RNAcentral is "partial 16S ribosomal RNA". It matches the Rfam family "Bacterial small subunit ribosomal RNA", at positions 568 to 774 of the family's 1533-position model. The record is from RNAcentral.